Molecule: unclassified non-coding RNA, 247 nt
Filed under: Mycolicibacterium fortuitum subsp. acetamidolyticum
Lineage: Bacteria; Bacillati; Actinomycetota; Actinomycetes; Mycobacteriales; Mycobacteriaceae
Description: partial may contain 16S ribosomal RNA, 16S-23S ribosomal RNA intergenic spacer, and 23S ribosomal RNA
Source: RNAcentral
CACUGGGUCUUACCCGAGCCGUGAGGAACCGGUUGCCUGUAGUGGGCACGGUUUGGUGCACAACAAACGUUGAGCCGCAAGGGAUUUUGCGGUGAUGGGACUGCCAGACACACUAUUGGGCUUUGAGACAACAGGCCCGUGCCCCUUUUUUGGGGGGUGGCAUCCGGUUGCGGGUGUCGGCGUGUUGUUGCCUCACUUUGGUGGUGGGGUGUGGUGUUUGAUUUGUGGAUAGUGGUUGCGAGCAUCU